This 1319-nucleotide ribosomal RNA is filed under the name Campylobacter jejuni. RNAcentral describes it as "bacterial SSU rRNA". It matches the Rfam family "Bacterial small subunit ribosomal RNA", at positions 197 to 1533 of the family's 1533-position model. The record is from RNAcentral. Lineage: Bacteria; Pseudomonadati; Campylobacterota; Epsilonproteobacteria; Campylobacterales; Campylobacteraceae.
UUGAGUAGGGAAAGUUUUUCGGUGUAGGAUGAGACUAUAUAGUAUCAGCUAGUUGGUAAGGUAAUGGCUUACCAAGGCUAUGACGCUUAACUGGUCUGAGAGGAUGAUCAGUCACACUGGAACUGAGACACGGUCCAGACUCCUACGGGAGGCAGCAGUAGGGAAUAUUGCGCAAUGGGGGAAACCCUGACGCAGCAACGCCGCGUGGAGGAUGACACUUUUCGGAGCGUAAACUCCUUUUCUUAGGGAAGAAUUCUGACGGUACCUAAGGAAUAAGCACCGGCUAACUCCGUGCCAGCAGCCGCGGUAAUACGGAGGGUGCAAGCGUUACUCGGAAUCACUGGGCGUAAAGGGCGCGUAGGCGGAUUAUCAAGUCUCUUGUGAAAUCUAAUGGCUUAACCAUUAAACUGCUUGGGAAACUGAUAGUCUAGAGUGAGGGAGAGGCAGAUGGAAUUGGUGGUGUAGGGGUAAAAUCCGUAGAUAUCACCAAGAAUACCCAUUGCGAAGGCGAUCUGCUGGAACUCAACUGACGCUAAGGCGCGAAAGCGUGGGGAGCAAACAGGAUUAGAUACCCUGGUAGUCCACGCCCUAAACGAUGUACACUAGUUGUUGGGGUGCUAGUCAUCUCAGUAAUGCAGCUAACGCAUUAAGUGUACCGCCUGGGGAGUACGGUCGCAAGAUUAAAACUCAAAGGAAUAGACGGGGACCCGCACAAGCGGUGGAGCAUGUGGUUUAAUUCGAAGAUACGCGAAGAACCUUACCUGGGCUUGAUAUCCUAAGAACCUUAUAGAGAUAUGAGGGUGCUAGCUUGCUAGAACUUAGAGACAGGUGCUGCACGGCUGUCGUCAGCUCGUGUCGUGAGAUGUUGGGUUAAGUCCCGCAACGAGCGCAACCCACGUAUUUAGUUGCUAACGGUUCGGCCGAGCACUCUAAAUAGACUGCCUUCGUAAGGAGGAGGAAGGUGUGGACGACGUCAAGUCAUCAUGGCCCUUAUGCCCAGGGCGACACACGUGCUACAAUGGCAUAUACAAUGAGACGCAAUACCGCGAGGUGGAGCAAAUCUAUAAAAUAUGUCCCAGUUCGGAUUGUUCUCUGCAACUCGAGAGCAUGAAGCCGGAAUCGCUAGUAAUCGUAGAUCAGCCAUGCUACGGUGAAUACGUUCCCGGGUCUUGUACUCACCGCCCGUCACACCAUGGGAGUUGAUUUCACUCGAAGCCGGAAUACUAAACUAGUUACCGUCCACAGUGGAAUCAGCGACUGGGGUGAAGUCGUAACAAGGUAACCGUAGGAGAACCUGCGGUUGGAUCACCUCCUUUCUA